CAUGAUUGGUUCAGGGAAGGGAGUGUCAGCUAAUGGGGCUUUGCUGCUGCAGAAGGAUGAAAGCAGGAUUUGUCUGUGUACUCAGUGCAUUGCAAUGCUGUGUGGUGGUGUCACCUGCCAAAUAAGAUUUCCCCUGUAGCACAUGCCCAGCUGGUUUGAAUGUCCAUGGAAACCGUGUACACCCAUUGCAGGGGGUCCUGCAGCUGAGUCCUAAAUGUACCAGUGAAUCCCACUGCCUGUUUGGUCAUACCUACAGCUGAAAACACUUGGGCUGGAAAAGCAGAAAGAACCUAUAUGACUGGGAAAACCCAGCAGGCCUCUAAAUUCCUGUUUUAGCUUGUCACCAGCUUUAUUGAGACUGUUUUUAGGAAGCAUUUAAAAUCUAGACGUCUAAAAUUACACAUCCAACACCAUGUUCAGGCUGCAGAUCAGGGGGCUGAUUUUAAGACGUGAUGGGCAUUUAUGCUGUUUACUGUUUUCAGGUCUCAGCACUUCUGAAAAGACAGGGGAAGACUGAGAGAGCAAGUUAAAGGCUGGUUGCAGAUGACUCUAAGGGAACAGAUCCUCUACUGGGAGCUGUUAUUGGAGUCAUGCAGACAAGAUCCCUCAAGGAGCAGGUUGCCACAAUUUAAUCAGUGAUUCCUAAGGAUAGUGACCUGCCACUAGAUGAGAAGAGACUGAGAUUAUCGUAGUUGACACGGGAAAAGAAUUGGAUCUAUGUCCUGCUUGAAAGAAGAAUUUAUCAGAUUACCUCUGAAUAUGCAUUAGAAGACCAGCAGAGUUCAGCCCUUUCUGGAGAUGCCUUUCCAGCUCGCUGCAGGAACAACAGCCCUGGUGUAAUUCCAGGAAGGAAGCAGAACCCAUGGAGUCAGCACGGCAGGGUAACCACUGCAUCUGGAAUUUCCCACUGUCAGGAGUGCCCUUUGCUGAUUAAAAUGUAAAGGGCUGAGCAAUUCCUCAAAUCCACAGAAAUGUUAAUCUUAGGGGAAAGUUCCUUUUGUGAGGAACUCAGCCAGGAUGUUUGCUGUCAUCAGAGCACUACAGAGAAUCCAGGACCUCCUGGCACCAGUUCACAAGCAGCAGGGACUGGGGGCUGUCCAGGGGCUCUUCAGGAGGGUCUGUAAAGACUUGGGCUGAAUCUGUGAGUGAGCAAGGAGUGGGUGCUGUGAUGCCUUGAUGAGAGAUCACAUCCCAGAGGCACAGGUGGUCCUUACACUUGUUUGAGGUGGAAAUAUGCAAUUCAGUGAAUACAGUCAGAUAACUUUAACAAUAAAGUGUAAUGAAGUUAAAAAUCCAAGCUAAAUGGAUUUUGAAAACCUCAAAACCUAAAAGCUUAAAAAAAAAAGGCACUUCAUCUGUUCUGUUAUAAACCCUACAGCAAAGUAAGUGGCUGAAUAACAAUGCUGUCUUCAGCAAGAAAGCACAAGUCUUCACAGCGGGUUGGUGACACAUGGAUAUUGGAGACCAGGACAAGCUUCAGACAGACAGCUGGGAAAAUCAAAGUUUUAAGAGGAACUGUUUGGCUCUCAGUGGAUAAUAUAUCUAUGAAGCAUGGGAGACUUUCUGGACUCGUUGAACUUUCAGAGGCAGCCCAG
This is a long non-coding RNA of Pseudopipra pipra, 1595 nucleotides long. RefSeq lists it as uncharacterized. NCBI's taxonomy places the organism in Eukaryota, Metazoa, Chordata, Aves, Passeriformes, Pipridae. The transcript is spliced from 11 exons. The record is from RefSeq and is a predicted model, not a curated record.